UGACUUAUCUGCUCAAAACAGCUGUGUCCU
This 30-nucleotide non-coding RNA is filed under the name Rattus norvegicus (Norway rat). The record is from RNAcentral. Lineage: Eukaryota; Metazoa; Chordata; Mammalia; Rodentia; Muridae.